GCGUGGAGUAUGUGGUUUAAUUCGAUGCAACGCGAAGAACCUUACCUGGUCUUGACAUCCCGGAGACCCUUAGGAAACUAGGGGGUGCUUCCAUCUGGAAGAAUCUGGAGACAGGUGCUGCAUGGCUGUCGUCAGCUCGUGUCGUGAGAUGUUGGGUUAAGUCCCGCAACGAGCGCAACCCUUGCCUUUAGUUGCCAGCAGUUCGGCUGGGCACUCUAAAGGGACUGCCGGUGUUAAACCGGAGGAAGGUGGGGAUGACGUCAAGUCCUCAUGGCCUUUAUGACCAGGGCUACACACGUACUACAAUGGCCGAUACAAAGGGCAGCGACACUGCGAGGUGAAGCCAAUCCCGUAAAAUCGGUCUCAGUCCGGAUUGGAGUCUGCAACUCGACUCCAUGAAGUUGGAAUCGCUAGUAAUUGUGGAUCAGCAUGCCACGGUGAAUACGUUCCCGGGCCUU
RNAcentral lists this ribosomal RNA (458 nucleotides) under uncultured Desulfobulbus sp. Its description in RNAcentral is "bacterial SSU rRNA". It matches the Rfam family "Bacterial small subunit ribosomal RNA", at positions 929 to 1382 of the family's 1533-position model. Lineage: Bacteria; Pseudomonadati; Thermodesulfobacteriota; Desulfobulbia; Desulfobulbales; Desulfobulbaceae. The record is from RNAcentral.